GGGAGUGGAGAGCAGGUUUGUUUUCAUUUUUCUCUCUUCAACUGCUAAUCCAUCAACAUUAUGUUUUACUUAUAUUAUAUAGACGUAAUCAAGAUUAAGAUUGACAAGUGUGUCAUAUGAUACUCCAUUUGUCUAUUGUUAGAGCUAGCUAUGGUGUUUUGAGGGUUGUUAAUGAAAAUGGAGCAAAAGGAUAUGAGUUUAUUGUUAGUGGAAAGCUUGAGAACAACAUGCCAAGUUAAUGGAGUUCAAGUAAAGGUACACAUUGUCAUCUGGUGAAUCUGUCAAGGAGUUAAUUGACUGUUGUGAGACUUGUGCUUUUUAGACAGGGUAAGGAUCAGUUGUUACCAAGUCGACAAGAAGGUGAGACACUUCAACGACUACUACCAAAAUCCGACAUUCGUAUAUUUGAGGAUAAUGGUUACAUGAUCUUAUGGUAGCAAUCCUCAACAUUUGUUUUUAUUUUCUUUUUUCUGAAUGAAUGCUAAAGUGUAAUAUCUAAAUGUGACAACAAAAUCUUUUAAAGUAUUGAGUUGAAGUUGAAGUUGUUUCUGAUAAAACUCGAACAUGAUAUUUUAGAAUAUCUUUGUUUAUUUAUGGUGUUUUUUUUUUUUUUUGCAGUUUUUACCUUAAUCCAUGGAUCUGGAAAUGCAAUGUAUGCAUUAUUGUGCUGUUCAUCUAGGUAUUUGCUUUCUUAGUUUCAUCUCGAAAGGUAACAUUUUGAUUUACCUAAGAAAGCAUGUUUAUUCUAUAAACUCAACCUUAUUUUCCUGGUUAUGUGUUCUCUUUGGUAGCCUAUUCUCACUGGUUUUAAUAAAUUAUUCAUGUUUUGUCAAAAAGGGGGAAUUUGCUUGGGAUGUAACCGGUCAGAAGAAAGGAAGAGAGUUUAAGAUCACUGUUGUAAGUUUAUGGCAAUCUGAAGUUGAACAACUUCAUUUUCUACUUGAAUGGUUGCUCAUUGUUAGUUUCUUCUUUCGAUUUAUAAUUUUUUUCCAAAUAUGAUUUGUUGUUUUCUAACUUGAAAUUUUAUUUGUUUGAAAGAUUUUUGCUUUUUAGGGGUUUGAUUGUAUGAUGGUAGCUAAAAAGAAGUGAAAUCAUAUUUUUUUUUUUCACAUUUAUAUAAGGUAUUAUUAUAUGAUUUUUGAUAUACUCUUUAGAAAAGUAUUCAUAGUACUAUGUCUCCGGGUUCCUUUUUUUAUGUUUUAUAUGCUUUAACUCUCAAUAUAUCUUUGUGGAUGAAUCUUACUAGAGGUUUUGAUUUUGGAGGCAAUAGGCUACAAAUUUUGAUUCAACAAGAUUGAGAUGGAGCAAGUUUUCGGUUAAAUCUACUUUAAAGCUGAACUUCUCUCUAUGGAUGAAUGGCUACAGGUUUGAUGUUGUCAUGCUAUAUCUCCUUAAAAGUUUAAAGCUUCUCUAUGUUUUUCUUAUUUCCUCUUUUAUAUGGAAAUUAUGUAAUUAAGCUUUUGAACAUAUAUUUGCAUGUACUUGAAUAUGUCUAUGUGUGUAGGUGGGAUCGUUUCUCAUUUCUCAGCUUGGUAAAUCCAUGCCAUAGCUCAAGAAAAAGACAUAUACCAUAGAGGAUAUAUUAGUAAUAUGAAAGGAUUCAUGAAAGUACAAAUAUGUCAUGCAUGUUUCCAUCGGUGGAAAAGAGCUUCACAAGCACCUAGCUUGUGAAUUGUGUGAAGAUGUUAGAACUAAGCGGUUAGUGAAAUCUCACAGCUCUAACAUUCGUAAAUUCCUACUUUUCAAUUUCUUAUAUGUAUGCCCAUAUUUAUAAAUGUGAUUGUAGUAAGUGCAACUUUUUAAACAUUAUAACUGAGGUGGCCAAGUGGGUCUCUACCAUAAUCAUGGUUAUAAUUCUGUUAUUAUCUCUAAAAAACAAUACGAGUUAGUGUCUAAAGCAUAACUAUCUAAAUAUUAAUUAGUAAGUCUUAAAUAGUAUACUUAUAUCUUUGAAAUAUGCUUUGUUUUAAAAAGACAUAACAAUAAAUAUAUAUUUGUUAUAGUAAAUUAUACCAUCAAUAAAGAUAUCAUUUUCUAACAUUGAAUUUAGUGGAUAUUGUUUUCAUGGGACGGUAACCAUGCACUCAAAUAUGUACAUAAAUAUAGUAAUAAAAAAUGAGAAUAUUUUAUGGUAUGUUAUUUUAAUGUGUACAUGACAGGUAGCAGAGAUGUAAUAGAAGGAAAUGGAAGUAAGUUGUAAUUUCUUGCUAAUGAAUGAAAGUACGUUGUUAUUCAUCACAUUUAAUUUGACGUAAAUGCAAGAAAUAACAACGUACUUUCUAAGUACAUUGUCAUCAUGAGAAUAAAUUGAAAGUAAACUACCCUUUCUUGCUAAUAAAUGAAAGUAAGCUGCUAUUUGCAUUUAUUUUGGGUACAGUGCAAGAAAUAGCAAAUUACCUCAAAAUUAAAGUGCCCCAUAAUGAGAAUAAACUUGAAAUUAAAUUACUAUUUCUCGCUCAUUGGCUUAUUUGGCAUAUUUCUUUAAAAUAAAAUCAACGCUUUUGGGUAAAUUGCAGGAAAUGGCAAGAUACUUAAAACCACUAUUAUGAUUUGAAGUUGAUUACAUUUUCUUUUGUAAGUAUAGUUUAUUUUUUUGGAAAUAACUCUGAAGCUUCUAAUUGUUUUCUAAUUUUGAACCUUCUUUUGGCCAAUUUGCUCCAAGCAUGUUUGUGUUUGAAAAAGCACCACAAACCAAGCGUUAGGCAUGGAGUUGGAGUAUGUUCUUGGGAAAAUUAAUGUUAAAAAAUAUCGUAUUUGUGUGCCCUUUAAGACCAGAAGUAAAAUUCUAAACAGUUUCUCUGUGUGUUUCUAAAUGCUUUAUUAUGAUGAAUCAUCAUUUUCCUAUAUUUCUAAAGUACAUGCUCAGGUAAUUAAUAUUUUCGUGAGCAAGUGUUGUUUUAAUUGUAUGCUUUUAAAAUAAUUAAGCAGA
Non-coding RNA from Lactuca sativa (garden lettuce), 2929 nucleotides. NCBI's taxonomy places the organism in Eukaryota, Viridiplantae, Streptophyta, Magnoliopsida, Asterales, Asteraceae. The record is from RefSeq and is a predicted model, not a curated record.